RNAcentral lists this ribosomal RNA (466 nucleotides) under uncultured bacterium. RNAcentral describes it as "bacterial SSU rRNA". It matches the Rfam family "Bacterial small subunit ribosomal RNA", at positions 329 to 793 of the family's 1533-position model. The record is from RNAcentral.
GCCCAGACUCCUACGGGAGGCAGCAGUGAGGAAUAUUGGUCAAUGGCCGAGAGGCUGAACCAGCCAAGUCGCGUGAGGGAAGAAUGUCCUAAGGAUUGUAAACCUCUUUUGUCGGGGAGCAAAGCGAGUCACGUGUGACUCAUUGAGAGUACCCGAAGAAAAAGCAUCGGCUAACUCCGUGCCAGCAGCCGCGGUAAUACGGAGGAUGCGAGCGUUAUCCGGAUUUAUUGGGUUUAAAGGGUGCGCAGGCGGAGGUGCAAGUCAGCGGUAAAAAUUCGGGGCUCAACCCCGUCGUGCCGUUGAAACUGAUGUUCUUGAGUGGGCGAGAAGUAUGCGGAAUGCGUGGUGUAGCGGUGAAAUGCAUAGAUAUCACGCAGAACUCCGAUUGCGAAGGCAGCAUACCGGCGCCCAACUGACGCUGAAGCACGAAAGCGUGGGUAUCGAACAGGAUUAGAUACCCUCGUAC